RNAcentral lists this ribosomal RNA (449 nucleotides) under uncultured bacterium. RNAcentral's name for it is "bacterial SSU rRNA". It matches the Rfam family "Bacterial small subunit ribosomal RNA", at positions 28 to 463 of the family's 1533-position model. The record is from RNAcentral.
GACGAACGCUGGCGGCGUGCCUAAUACAUGCAAGUAGAACGCUGAAGGAGGAGCUUGCUUCUCUGGAUGAGUUGCGAACGGGUGAGUAACGCGUAGGUAACCUGCCUGGUAGCGGGGGAUAACUAUUGGAAACGAUAGCUAAUACCGCAUAAGAGUAGAUGUUGCAUGACAUUUGCUUAAAAGGUGCAAUUGCAUCACUACCAGAUGGACCUGCGUUGUAUUAGCUAGUUGGUGGGGUAACGGCUCACCAAGGCGACGAUACAUAGCCGACCUGAGAGGGUGAUCGGCCACACUGGGACUGAGACACGGCCCAGACUCCUACGGGAGGCAGCAGUAGGGAAUCUUCGGCAAUGGACGGAAGUCUGACCGAGCAACGCCGCGUGAGUGAAGAAGGUUUUCGGAUCGUAAAGCUCUGUUGUAAGAGAAGAACGAGUGUGAGAGUGGAAAGU